UUUUUUUUCAGCCAUUCAACAUGAGAGUUCAUUAAGUGCUAUUGGGGAAAAACAUUUUUUGAAUGAUCUUUUACAAAAAAUUAUUACAAAUUUGAAGGAGUUCUUCACACACAGCCUCCGUUUUCUCUGAAGUACAGUGCAUGAUUAGCUGGUAUGCAACAGAAGGCUCUGUAUAGCCUGAAGAGGUUGGUGAAAAUCUUAGUAUAUGCCCCUGGGAGAAAGGGGAACAGGGGCAGGCUCAUGAUACUUUUUAAAGAUAAAAGUAUCACAGUAGUUCUGUUACAUUUAAACCAAACACCAGUUUGUUGUGUUUAUGAAGCCGGAUUUAAUUCUUUGAAUAGUUUCUGUCCUUAAGAGAAGAAAAGAUUCCCAGGCACCAGUUAUAUGAAGCCUGCCAAGGCUGAAGACCUUUUCGUAUCUAUGUUGGAAUGCUGGCUUUGCUUUUCUAAGAUAUUUUGCUUGUUUGAUUCUCGGUUUUUAAAAUUGUAGGUGGGGUGGUACAACAACUGGCACAGUGACAAAGAAUAAAGGAAAUUGCAUUUGUAGAUGUGCUUAGCAUGCAGUAAGAGUCGACGCU
RNAcentral lists this long non-coding RNA (577 nucleotides) under Bos taurus (domestic cattle). RNAcentral describes it as "long non-coding RNA NONBTAT007486". Lineage: Eukaryota; Metazoa; Chordata; Mammalia; Artiodactyla; Bovidae. The record is from RNAcentral.